UGGGGAAUCUUGGACAAUGGGGGCAACCCUGAUCCAGCCAUGCCGCGUGAGUGAUGAAGGCCUUAGGGUCGUAAAGCUCUUUCGCCUGUGAAGAUAAUGACGGUAGCAGGUAAAGAAACCCCGGCUAACUCCGUGCCAGCAGCCGCGGUAAUACGGAGGGGGUUAGCGUUGUUCGGAAUUACUGGGCGUAAAGCGCACGUAGGCGGACCAGAAAGUUGGGGGUGAAAUCCCGGGGGCUCAACCCCGGAACUGCCUCCAAAACUAUUGGUCUAGAGUUCGAGAGAGGUGAGUGGAAUUCCAAGUGUAGAGGUGAAAUUCGUAGAUAUUUGGAGGAACACCAGUGGCGAAGGCGGCUCACUGGCUCGAUACUGACGCUGAGGUGCGAAAGUGUGGGGAGCAAACAGGAUUAGAUACCCUGGUAGUCCACACCGUAAAACGAUGAAUGCCAGUCGUCGGGUAGCAUGCUAUUCGGUGACACACCUAACGG
RNAcentral lists this ribosomal RNA (487 nucleotides) under uncultured bacterium. RNAcentral describes it as "bacterial SSU rRNA". It matches the Rfam family "Bacterial small subunit ribosomal RNA", at positions 355 to 858 of the family's 1533-position model. The record is from RNAcentral.